GACGAACGCUGGCGGCGUGCUUAACACAUGCAAGUCGAGCGAACCUUCGGGUUAGCGGCGAACGGGUGAGUAACACGUGGGCAACCUGCCCCGAGCUCUGGGAUAACCCCGGGAAACCGGGGCUAAUACCGGAUACGAGGCCAACAGACAUCUGUUGGUCUGGAAAGUUUUUCGGCUCGGGAUGGGCCCGCGGCCUAUCAGCUUGUUGGGUGGGGUAACGGCCUACCAAGGCGACGACGGGUAGCCGGCCUGAGAGGGCGACCGGCCACACUGGGACUGAGACACGGCCCAGACUCCUACGGGAGGCAGCAGUGGGGAAUAUUGCGCAAUGGGCGAAAGCCUGACGCAGCGACGCCGCGUGAGGGAUGAAGGCC
This 374-nucleotide ribosomal RNA is filed under the name uncultured bacterium. RNAcentral describes it as "bacterial SSU rRNA". It matches the Rfam family "Bacterial small subunit ribosomal RNA", at positions 28 to 416 of the family's 1533-position model. The record is from RNAcentral.